CUAACAAAAUUUAAUAAGGGUUCAGGGAAUUUAGUUAAAUUCUAAAACUGUCCUCGCAACUGUGUUGGUGAGCGUUUUUUAUUAAUACCACUUAGUAUUUAUACUUGGGAAGGUUAAAAAAUGCAAUGAUCCUAAGUCAGGAGACCUACCCUAUUAUUAUUUUUUAAC
This 168-nucleotide non-coding RNA is filed under the name Candidatus Hepatincola sp. Av. Lineage: Bacteria; Pseudomonadati; Pseudomonadota; Alphaproteobacteria; Rhodospirillales; Candidatus Hepatincolaceae. The record is from RNAcentral. RNAcentral also lists the same sequence under 1 other name.